GCCGGGUUAGCCAAGUGGUUACGGCGCGGGCCUUGAGAGCCUGUGGCUUCCGAGCCGCAAGGGUUCGAAUCCCUUACCCGGCGCCA
RNAcentral lists this transfer RNA (86 nucleotides) under Promethearchaeota archaeon. Its description in RNAcentral is "tRNA-Ser". It matches the Rfam family "tRNA". Rfam says of the family: Transfer RNA (tRNA) molecules are approximately 80 nucleotides in length. Their secondary structure includes four short double-helical elements and three loops (D, anti-codon, and T loops). Further hydrogen bonds mediate the characteristic L-shaped molecular structure. tRNAs have two regions of fundamental functional importance: the anti-codon, which is responsible for specific mRNA codon recognition, and the 3' end, to which the tRNAs corresponding amino acid is attached (by aminoacyl-tRNA synthetases). tRNAs cope with the degeneracy of the genetic code in two manners: having more than one tRNA (with a specific anti-codon) for a particular amino acid; and 'wobble' base-pairing, i.e. permitting non-standard base-pairing at the 3rd anti-codon position. The record is from RNAcentral. Lineage: Archaea; Promethearchaeati; Promethearchaeota. RNAcentral also lists the same sequence under 5 other names.